AGUCUGCCGGGCGGUGGCCUGCUCCCUCUCGAAGACUCCUGCCGCUCGCCGCCCGCCGCUUAUCCUGUCUGCUGCCGCUCGCCGCCUGCCGCCCGCCACUUAUCCCAUCUCCUGCCGCUCUACCGCCGCCCCAGCGCCUCUAUAAGAUGGCCCCCGGCCUCGCUUAUCCACAAGCGGCCGCGGAGGAGCUCGGCGCCACCAGGGGGCGUACCGGCGAGGGGCUGCGUCCACCUUGCCGUCGAGUGCCUCCUCCCCUCCGGCCGCCCCGAUUCCCUCUUCAUCCUCCAGCUCCAGCCCAACCCCGACACCCCGGACGUCAAGCGGGCCUUCUGUCGCCUAGCCAACCUCCUGGCCCCUCGGCGCGAUCCCCAUCCCCGGCUGACACCGCCCUUCGCGCCGUUGAAGAGGGCCUUCGCCCACCUCUUGGAGAGCACCUCCACCAGCGCCGGUUUCGCUCCUGCUGCUCCCGGCGGCGUUUCCGUCUCAGAGAUGUGCUCUGGACGGUCUGCCCCCACUGCUGCCAUGUGCAUGAGUACGCGCGCAUGCUGGUGGGGCGUUUGCUUGGGUGCUCGAACCCCUGGUUCAUGUGCGUGUUCGUGGCUACCUAGCCCGCGCGGCUGCCCUCUCCCUGCUCGCCGGUCGCCGCCGCUCGGGUUGUUCGCGCAGGCUAAGCCACGGAUUGUGUACGAAAUAUUCACAACAAAGCAACGAUCAAACAGAGAUCCAGUUACAGCAAAGAUGCGAAAAUUGAGUAGUCAAUAUAGCAGGUGCAGUGUGAACUCCUGUUUUCCCGUAGUAACUUCAGAAAAAAGUCUCUCUACCUGGGUUAAGAAAUUCAGAACUUUACAGUGAGCAGAAUGUGGACCUUAUAAGGUCUAUACAUGCAAGAUUCAGGAAUUGGAAACGGAAGUAACACGGCAGAAGUUCUCCACUGGGCUCAAGGGGAUGAAUUGGUUAACUACAGAGAGCUUCAACAUGGUGGCAACCUGGAAAUGAGAGGAAGUGGAAGGAUAGAAGGUACGCUUCUGCAGAAUCCAAGUUCUCAGGAGUAUCUCACAAAUGAGUCAUCAUAGGUGAGAGAUGUCUCAUCCAGCCGGACGAUAUUAUUGACCAUUUAAUAGCAGCUGACCAACAGUUUUGGUAAUUAGAGAAGAAGACAAUUCCACAGAAGCAAAGCCAAUUCAUUGCUGAGUAGCUCCGGAGAGUGUCAACGUAUGUGCCCAAACUCAAUAGAACAAGCACUAACGAUAGCAGAACUUGAAAAAUCCAGGAGAUGGCUGCUCUCACCAUAUAGUUCAAAGGAUUCCUAGAUCAAAUUUUCUGGGCUGGGACAAGAAAAGGAACAUGCUCCAGUCUCCAGAAUGUAAUAGAUUCAAUAAGGACUGAUUGCAUGGUUUGGGAGAAACUUGGUGCGUUCAGUUCAAUAUAAGGAAAAGCAUGAGAAGGUUGCCUCCUCGUAUCGAUGAGGCGCGGCGGCGCCGCCGCGCGGGUACAUGCUAGUAUUUGAAAGAUAGCAGACCGCCUGCAGGGAUGGCAAGGGAGCCACCAGCCUUGUACAGGGCCGGUGCAUUUACCAUUUUACCGUGUAGUAUAUUACAGUAACAUUCAGAGCAUCUCCAGCCGCGCCCCUAACAAGCCCUUU
Long non-coding RNA from Triticum dicoccoides, 1642 nucleotides. RefSeq lists it as uncharacterized. The record is from RefSeq and is a predicted model, not a curated record. The transcript has 9 exons. NCBI's taxonomy places the organism in Eukaryota, Viridiplantae, Streptophyta, Magnoliopsida, Poales, Poaceae.